GCCGGGCGUGGUGGCGGGCGCCUGUAGUCCCAGCUACUCAGGAGGCUGAGGCAGGAGAAUCGCUUGAACCCGGGCGGUGGAGUUUGCAGUGAGCCGAGAUCGCGCCACUGCACUCCAGUCUGGGUGACAGAGCGAGACUCCGUCUCAA
RNAcentral lists this small RNA (148 nucleotides) under Macaca fascicularis (crab-eating macaque). RNAcentral's name for it is "Metazoan signal recognition particle RNA (ENSMFAG00000052510.1)". Lineage: Eukaryota; Metazoa; Chordata; Mammalia; Primates; Cercopithecidae. The record is from Rfam by way of RNAcentral.